GUCACGCCCGAAGUCAUUACCCCAACCGAGAGGAGGGGGAUGCCUAAGGCAGGGCUAGUGACUGGGGUGAAGUCGUAACAAGGUAGCCGUACCGGAAGGUGUGGCUGGAUCACCUCCUUAAAGGGAGACCUAAUUCCGGUAGGAGACGAAAAAAAAGUAGUCGCUACCAAGAAUCAAUCCCAAAAGGUCGGAGCGAGGCGAAAUUGGCUUUCAAACUAGGUUCUGGGUUCACACAAGACCUGAAUCAGGAACAAGGGCUAUUAGCUCAGGUGGUUAGAGCGCACCCCUGAUAAGGGUGAGGUCCCUGGUUCGAGUCCAGGAUGGCCCACCUGCACAGGUGGCAAAAACAAGAGAAGCGAGGAAUCAGUACCUUAUCUUACUUAUAUAGUAAGAGAGAAUGCUGGCUCUGAGUAAAGAGUCCAGAGGAACCUUGAAAACUGCAUAGAGCUAGGUGAAAAAGCCAAAAAAGAAGACCGCAAGGUCAAGCUAAUAAGGGCUAACGGUGGAUACCUAGGCACACAGAGG
RNAcentral lists this unclassified non-coding RNA (525 nucleotides) under uncultured Microcystis sp. RNAcentral's name for it is "partial contains 16S ribosomal RNA and 16S-23S ribosomal RNA intergenic spacer". The stretch from base 1 to 120 matches the Rfam family "Bacterial small subunit ribosomal RNA", at positions 1414 to 1533 of the family's 1533-position model. The record is from RNAcentral. Lineage: Bacteria; Bacillati; Cyanobacteriota; Cyanophyceae; Chroococcales; Microcystaceae.